Molecule: ribosomal RNA, 443 nt
Filed under: uncultured bacterium
Lineage: Bacteria
Description: partial 16S ribosomal RNA
Rfam family: Bacterial small subunit ribosomal RNA
Source: RNAcentral
CCUACGGUAGGCAGCAGUGGGGAAUAUUGGACAAUGGGGGGAACCCUGAUCCAGCGACGCCGCGUGAGUGAAGAAGUAUUUCGGUAUGUAAAGCUCUAUCAGCAGGGAAGAAAGAAAUGACGGUACCUGACUAAGAAGCCCCGUCUAACUACGUGCCAGCAGCCGCGGUAAUACGUAGGGGGCAAGCGUUAUCCGGAUUUACUGGGUGUAAAGGGAGCGUAGACGGCGAUGCAAGUCUGAAGUGAAAGGCGGGGGCCCAACCCCCGGACUGCUUUGGAAACUGUAUGGCUGGAGUGCAGGAGAGGUAAGUGGAAUUCCUAGUGUAGCGGUGAAAUGCGUAGAUAUUAGGAGGAACACCAGUGGCGAAGGCGGCUUACUGGACUGUAACUGACGUUGAGGCUCGAAAGCGUGGGGAGCAAACAGGAUUAGAUACCCGAGUAGUC